UCCAAACCGAACCAUCCAAACCCAUGGGUUAGUUGGGUUAAUUUUCAAUUGACCCGUUUAUAUUGGGUUGGGUCAGAGUUUACCUAUUUAAAACCCUAACCCAACCCAACCCGAUCUAACUAUUAUAAAAGAGUAAAUUAAUAUAUAGUAGUAGUAUUAAGUCUUGCAUCUAAUUGGUUGUUAAACUCCAAUCUAGCUAGGAAGUUAAUAAGGUCUGUUAUUAGAUGUGAUAAUCAAUCCAUAUAAAUAAUAUGGUCACUCUUUUAGUAUAGCACAUUCAGAUAUACCUUUCAUAUUGAGGAUCUUUAUGUUUUGAUAUUUGAUU
This 325-nucleotide long non-coding RNA is filed under the name Daucus carota (carrot). RNAcentral describes it as "long non-coding RNA (DCAR_LNC000487)". Lineage: Eukaryota; Viridiplantae; Streptophyta; Magnoliopsida; Apiales; Apiaceae. The record is from RNAcentral.